GUUUUUAUCGGUUUAUUACUAACCAAAUUCAACCAUAAUCAUACGUAGACAAGUCAAUAAUUGUAGACUGAUCGCCAUAAUUGAUUUUUGUUGCACAUGUUCCUCUAUUUUACUAUUGCUAGAUAUUGUGUCUGUUGUUGUCCCAUCAGGUGAUAUUCAUGGGCCAUUGGCAUUCCCAGAUAACAACGAGUUUCUCAAUAUUCUAUUACUAACCACAUGUGCAGCUACUAAAGAUCAGAUUUAUGACCCAACAAUUGUAGAAAGAAAAAGUUCUCAAGAUUUGAAGCUAGAUUUGAGUAAAUUAAAGUGCACAGUUCAGGUUUGAUGAGUUUCUCAUUGUUUAUUAUUUGGUUACAUACCACGAAAACCAGCAUGCUGAAAAUAUUAUCAAUGCCUGUACACACACAUUUCUGUAUUUUACUAUUCCUAGAUAAUCAUGUGUUUUGUUGUUCUAUCAGGUUGUACUUAUGGAUUACAGAAUUCCCAGUUCCACAACACCCAAUUCAAGUCCCUGAAUAUUUUGUGUGAACCACAGUUUCUGCUACCAAACAUUGGUAGAAGAAUACCAAAGGUUUCUCUUGACUCUCAGUAAUUGGUAAAUGUGAAGCAGUUGAUAUUGUGUGUAAUCAAGGAGGUAUAUACCAGGUAUAUAAUCCAUUCCCAAAAAAAAAGCGUGCAGCAAACUUCCAAAGGAAAAAAGUGGUGCUGCUAUUGUGGCAACAACAAAGAUUCUAUUGAUUUGUUAUCAUUAUAGAUUACCUAUUUUGCUUAAUAUACUGGAUGAGAACCAUCUGGAUUUCUUCCAAGGAAAAGUAAAGGGGGCAAUAACACAGUCGACUAAGUUCUUUGUUUGCUAACCCGUUGGCUGCUUCCUUGACCCGGCUGACCUUGCCCUCUUUGACUUCGGUCCCGAUUUGAGUUAGCGACGCUAUUCCAUGGAUUGUGAACCUGACGAGAGACGACAGCUCAACGACGACUAAUUGACGGGCUGUCAUUCAGCAAUACUGCUCGUUCAGUUCGUCCUUCGUCGCUCCGAUUCAUCGGGGAAUUGAGCUUGCUCCAACUACGCGGCCACAUGCCAGAAUCAUUGGAUUACCCAGCCGACUUGUAAGUUACCCCAGCUCUCAACACAGCAGAGUUUUACUCUUUAGAUUAUGUUUGGCUGUUUGCCAUGUUUGAUGGCGUUUUCUUGUGUGCGACCACUAAUCGCUCCCUAUCAAAACUGGCCUCGGACUCCUCUCUUCUUCCUUGUCCAGGUAAUCUCCCUUGGGCAGUUAAUCAAGGCAGUCUCCCCCUUCUUGAUUGACUGAACUUUGUAAGGAAAAUUGAACAUUUCAUAUUGAUAAAAUUAAUUUAGUGUAGAUGGAUGAUAAACAUUGUAUGUAAUAGUGUCAACUCAAUAAGCUUGUAAAGUUAUAUUUUCAAAAUACAGUGUUAUAUAUAAAUCUUAUAUAUCCCAACUUA
This 1464-nucleotide long non-coding RNA is filed under the name Daphnia pulex (common water flea). Its description in RNAcentral is "uncharacterized LOC124190165, transcript variant X3". The record is from RNAcentral. Lineage: Eukaryota; Metazoa; Arthropoda; Branchiopoda; Diplostraca; Daphniidae.